GUGAAAGGCUAAACAAACUCGGAGAUAGCUGGUUCUCCCCGAAAACUAUUUAGGUAGUGCCUCGAGUAUGAGACUGAUGGGGGUAAAGCACUGUUAUGGCUAGGGGGUUAUUGCAACUUACCAACCCAUGGCAAACUAAGAAUACCAUCAAGUUGCUCCUCGGGAGACAGACAUCGGGUGCUAACGUCCGGUGUCAAGAGGGAAACAACCCAGACCGCCAGCUAAGGUCCCAAAUGAUAGAUUAAGUGGUAAACGAAGUAGGAAGGCACAGACAGCCAGGAUGUUGGCUUAGAAGCAGCCAUCAUUCAAAGAAAGCGUAAUAGCUCACUGGUCGAGUCUUCCUGCGCGGAAGAUGUAACGGGGCUCAAAUCUAUAACCGAAGCUGCGGAUAUACUUUUGUAUAUGGUAGGGGAGCGUUCUGUAAGCCUGUGAAGGUGACUUGUAAAGGUUGCUGGAGGUAUCAGAAGUGCGAAUGUUGACAUGAGUAGCGAUAAAGCGGGUGAAAAGCCCGCUCGCCGAAAGCCCAAGGUUUCCUACGCAACGUUCAUCGGCGUAGGGUGAGUCGGCCCCUAAGGCGAGGCAGAAAUGCGUAGUCGAUGGGAAACAGGUUAAUAUUCCUGUACUUUGAUUCAAUGCGAUGUGGGGACGGAGAAGGUUAGGUUAGCAAACUGUUGGAAUAGUUUGUUUAAGCCAGUAGGUGGAAAGAGUAGGCAAAUCCGCUCUUUCUUAACACCGAGACGUGAUGACGAGUGUCUACGGACAUGAAGUGACCAAUACCACGCUUCCAGGAAAAGCCACUAAGCUUCAGUUGAAUCAGAACCGUACCGCAAACCGACACAGGUGGGCAGGAUGAGAAUUCUAAGGCGCUUGAGAGAACUCGGGAGAAGGAACUCGGCAAAUUGAUACCGUAACUUCGGGAGAAGGUAUGCCCUCUAAUGUUAAGGACUUGCUCCGUAAGCAUUUGAGGGUCGCAGAGAAUCGGUGGCUGCGACUGUUUAUUAAAAACACAGCACUCUGCUAACACGAAAGUGGACGUAUAGGGUGUGACGCCUGCCCGGUGCUGGAAGGUUAAUUGAAGAUGUGCAAGCAUCGGAUCGAAGCCCCAGUAAACGGCGGCCGUAACUAUAACGGUCCUAAGGUAGCGAAAUUCCUUGUCGGGUAAGUUCCGACCCGCACGAAUGGCGUAACGAUGGCCACACUGUCUCCUCCCGAGACUCAGCGAAGUUGAAAUGGUUGUGAAGAUGCAAUCUCCCCGCUGCUAGACGGAAAGACCCCGUGAACCUUUACUGUAGCUUUGCAUUGGACUUUGAAGUCACUUGUGUAGGAUAGGUGGGAGGCUUUGAAGCAGAGACGCCAGUCUCUGUGGAGCCGUCCUUGAAAUACCACCCUGGUGACUUUGAGGUUCUAACCCAGACUCGUUAUCCGGGUCGGGGACCGUGCAUGGUAGGCAGUUUGACUGGGGCGGUCUCCUCCCAAAGAGUAACGGAGGAGUUCGAAGGUUACCUAGGUCCGGUCGGAAAUCGGACUGAUAGUGCAAUGGCAAAAGGUAGCUUAACUGCGAGACCGACAAGUCGAGCAGGUGCGAAAGCAGGACAUAGUGAUCCGGUGGUUCUGAAUGGAAGGGCCAUCGCUCAACGGAUAAAAGGUACUCCGGGGAUAACAGGCUGAUUCCGCCCAAGAGUCCAUAUCGACGGCGGAGUUUGGCACCUCGAUGUCGGCUCAUCACAUCCUGGGGCUGUAGUCGGUCCCAAGGGUAUGGCUGUUCGCCAUUUAAAGUGGUACGUGAGCUGGGUUUAAAACGUCGUGAGACAGUUUGGUCCCUAUCUGCAGUGGGCGUUGGAAGUUUGACGGGGGCUGCUCCUAGUACGAGAGGACCGGAGUGGACGAACCUCUGGUGUACCGGUUGUUUCGCCAGAAGCAUAGCCGGGUAGCUAAGUUCGGAAGAGAUAAGCGCUGAAAGCAUCUAAGCGCGAAACUCGCCCAAAGAUGAGACUUCCCUUGUGGUUUAACCAUACUAAAGAGUCGUUCGAGACCAGGACGUUGAUAGGUUGGGUGUGGAAGAGUGGUAACACUUGAAGCUAACCAAUACUAAUUGCUCGUGAGGCUUGACUCU
This 2113-nucleotide ribosomal RNA is filed under the name Kingella kingae. RNAcentral's name for it is "partial 23S ribosomal RNA". It matches the Rfam family "Bacterial large subunit ribosomal RNA", at positions 821 to 2925 of the family's 2925-position model. The record is from RNAcentral. Lineage: Bacteria; Pseudomonadati; Pseudomonadota; Betaproteobacteria; Neisseriales; Neisseriaceae.